This 515-nucleotide small RNA is filed under the name Pongo abelii (Sumatran orangutan). RNAcentral describes it as "processed transcript". Lineage: Eukaryota; Metazoa; Chordata; Mammalia; Primates; Hominidae. The record is from RNAcentral.
AACCUGGACUGUGUUAUCUUUUCCAGGUGCAAGUAUGUGCUAUGGUUACCUCCUUUUAUCAGUGGCUUGUGUUCCAGCUGACAGCUCCAGGCCCUGUUUGAAUAAUUCGAAGGCAAUCCUUAGUUAGGGAAGCAAGCUUUAAUUAUCACUGGGGAACAGAAGGCCGCAUCUUCGAGGAAUUUGGCAGACCUCAGCAGGGGGCAACCACAGGCCUUUGGCAAAAGAUCACUUUUCAACAACAUUGUCAAUUCCAGUGACCCCCGACCUUCCACCUGCAGGUCCCUGAACAGCUGCUGUUCUGUGGGAAGCAGUGGCAGUCUGUCUUCCUUUAAAAGGCACAUGCACACUCUGUCCCUGCUGCCUGCUGAGAUCCCACCUGGGACCUCAUCCCCAGAGCUGGGGGUCAUCUCCCAUAUAGAGAAAUCAAGAAAAAUAAGGGAGGGGGGCAGGAGAGGACAGCUUUGACAACAGUCCCUGAACUUUCCCUUUUAAUAUAAGCCAGAUUUAACAUAUGU